AACGAACGCUGGCGGCAGGCUUAACACAUGCAAGUCGAGCGCCCCGCAAGGGGAGCGGCAGACGGGUGAGUAACGCGUGGGAAUCUACCGUGCCCUACGGAAUAGCUCCGGGAAACUGGAAUUAAUACCGUAUACGCCCUUUGGGGGAAAGAUUUAUCGGGGUAUGAUGAGCCCGCGUUGGAUUAGCUAGUUAGUGGGGUAAAGGCCUACCAAGGCGACGAUCCAUAGCUGGUCUGAGAGGAUGAUCAGCCACAUUGGGACUGAGACACGGCCCAAACUCCUACGGGAGGCAGCAGUGGGGAAUAUUGGACAAUGGGCGCAAGCCUGAUCCAGCCAUGCCGCGUGAGUGAUGAAGGCCCUAGGGUUGUAAAGCUCUUUCACCGGUGAAGAUAAUGACGGUAACCGGAGAAGAAGCCCCGGCUAACUUCGUGCCAGCCGCCGCAGUAA
Molecule: ribosomal RNA, 447 nt
Filed under: uncultured bacterium
Lineage: Bacteria
Description: partial 16S ribosomal RNA
Rfam family: Bacterial small subunit ribosomal RNA
Source: RNAcentral